This 199-nucleotide long non-coding RNA is filed under the name Hordeum vulgare. RNAcentral's name for it is "long non-coding RNA (HVUL_LNC003073)". The record is from RNAcentral. Lineage: Eukaryota; Viridiplantae; Streptophyta; Magnoliopsida; Poales; Poaceae.
UGGGAUUCAACUGUCUUCUUAUUAAAAAAACAGAGUACAACGCAGAUACAAACAAGGUAGUUCCGGUACGGACUACAAAACAAGGAAAAUGCUAUGCUACCCGCUGCAGGCCCACGAUCACGACCACGGCUCAGUCCUCCGGAUAGUUCGCGUAAAGGCAAUCUGUCUCCUCGUCGUACUGCCACGCCAGCUGGGUGCC